RNAcentral lists this ribosomal RNA (253 nucleotides) under uncultured bacterium. RNAcentral describes it as "partial 16S ribosomal RNA". It matches the Rfam family "Bacterial small subunit ribosomal RNA", at positions 524 to 776 of the family's 1533-position model. The record is from RNAcentral.
UACAGAGGUCCCAAGCGUUGUUCGGAUUUACUGGGCGUAAAGAGCGCGCAGGCGGUCGUUCAAGUCGCGUGUGAAAGCCCCCGGCUCAACUGGGGAGGGUCACGCGAUACUGAUCGACUCGAAGGCAGGAGAGGGUAGUGGAAUUCCCGGUGUAGUGGUGAAAUGCGUAGAUAUCGGGAGGAACACCAGUGGCGAAGGCGACUACCUGGCCUGUUCUUGACGCUGAGGCGCGAAAGCUAGGGGAGCAAACGGG